GUGAAUGGUCUCCCCCUUGAUGUUCUCCCCCAAACACCUAUGUCAGAUUAUGGGGAGAAAAAAAAAUCAAAAUGAUUUUACAAAUAAAGGAAAUUUAGGUAGAAAUGCAAGUACAAUUAGACAUUUUAACUUUUAUAUCCAUCCUGCAUCACCGUCAAUGGAUGCCCUACCUCAUGUAGUUGCUCGGGUAAGACUGUUGAUUGCAGAUAUAGAUCUCUU
RNAcentral lists this long non-coding RNA (219 nucleotides) under Mytilus galloprovincialis (Mediterranean mussel). The record is from RNAcentral. Lineage: Eukaryota; Metazoa; Mollusca; Bivalvia; Mytilida; Mytilidae.